Molecule: ribosomal RNA, 231 nt
Filed under: uncultured bacterium
Lineage: Bacteria
Description: partial 16S ribosomal RNA
Rfam family: Bacterial small subunit ribosomal RNA
Source: RNAcentral
CGGACGGGUGAGUAAUGCUGGGAAACUGCCCGAUGGAGGGGGAUAACUACUGGAAACGGUAGCUAAUACCGCAUAACGUCGCAAGACCAAAGAGGGGGACCUUCGGGCCUCUUGCCAUCGGAUGUGCCCAGAUGGGAUUAGCUAGUAGGUGGGGUAACGGCUCACCUAGGCGACGAUCCCUAGCUGGUCUGAGAGGAUGACCAGCCACACUGGAACUGAGACACGGUCCAG